UACAGGGGGGGCAAGCGUUGUUCGGAAUUAUUGGGCGUAAAGGGCGCGUAGGCGGCCUGGCAAGUGGAAGGUGAAAUCCCUCGGCUUAACCGAGGAACUGCCCUCCAAACUGCUUGGCUUGAGUCCGGGAGAGGUGAGUGGAAUUCCCAGUGUAGCGGUGAAAUGCGUAGAUAUUGGGAGGAACACCAGUGGCGAAGGCGGCUCACUGGACCGGAACUGACGCUGAGGCGCGAAAGCGUGGGGAGCAAACGGG
RNAcentral lists this ribosomal RNA (253 nucleotides) under uncultured bacterium. RNAcentral describes it as "partial 16S ribosomal RNA". It matches the Rfam family "Bacterial small subunit ribosomal RNA", at positions 524 to 776 of the family's 1533-position model. The record is from RNAcentral.